RNAcentral lists this non-coding RNA (21 nucleotides) under Caenorhabditis elegans. The record is from RNAcentral. Lineage: Eukaryota; Metazoa; Nematoda; Chromadorea; Rhabditida; Rhabditidae.
UGAUUUCCAUUUAGUCUUUUG